GAUGAACGCUGGCGGCGUGCCUAAUACAUGCAAGUCGAGCGAACUUUUGGGAGCUUGCUCCCAAAAGUUAGCGGCGGACGGGUGAGUAACACGUGGGCAACCUGCCUAUAAGACUGGGAUAACUUCGGGAAACCGGAGCUAAUACCGGAUAACAUGUGAUACCACAUGGUCUCAUAUUAAAAGAUGGCUUUUAGCUAUCACUUAUAGAUGGGCCCGCGGCGCAUUAGCUAGUUGGUGAGGUAAUGGCUCACCAAGGCGACGAUGCGUAGCCGACCUGAGAGGGUGAUCGGCCACACUGGGACUGAGACACGGCCCAGACUCCUACGGGAGGCAGCAGUAGAGAAUCUUCCGCAAUGGACGAAAGUCUGACGGAGCAACGCCGCGUGAGCGAAGAAGGUCUUCGGAUCGUAAAGCUCUGUUGUUAGGGAAGAACAAGUACCGUUCAAAUAGGGCGGUACCUUGACGGUACCUAACCAGAAAGCCACGGCUAACUACGUGCCAGCCGCCGCAGUAA
This 514-nucleotide ribosomal RNA is filed under the name uncultured bacterium. RNAcentral describes it as "partial 16S ribosomal RNA". It matches the Rfam family "Bacterial small subunit ribosomal RNA", at positions 28 to 523 of the family's 1533-position model. The record is from RNAcentral.